UACUCAGAAGGGGCCAGGUUACUUAGACUGGGUGUGACCUAAGCCCUUCUGAGUAU
This 56-nucleotide microRNA precursor is filed under the name Pteropus alecto (black flying fox). Lineage: Eukaryota; Metazoa; Chordata; Mammalia; Chiroptera; Pteropodidae. The record is from RNAcentral.